UGGGGAAUAUUGGACAAUGGGGGGAACCCUGAUCCAGCCAUGCCGCGUGUGUGAAGAAGGCCUUAUGGUUGUAAAGCACUUUAAGCGAGGAGGAGGGUACUGGUAUUAAUACUACCAGGUACUGGACGUUACUCGCAGAAUAAGCACCGGCUAACUCUGUGCCAGCAGCCGCGGUAAUACAGAGGGUGCGAGCGUUAAUCGGAUUUACUGGGCGUAAAGCGUGCGUAGGCGGCUAAUUGAGUCGGAUGUGAAAUCCCCGAGCUUAACUUGGGAAUUGCAUUCGAUACUGGUUAGCUAGAGUGUGGGAGAGGAUGGUAGAAUUCCAGGUGUGGCGGUGAAAUGCGUAGAGAUCUGGAGGAAUACCGAUGGCGAAGGCAGGCAUCUGGCCUAACACUGACGCUGAGGUACGAAAGCAUGGGGAGCAAACAGG
Molecule: ribosomal RNA, 430 nt
Filed under: Pseudomonadota bacterium
Lineage: Bacteria; Pseudomonadati; Pseudomonadota
Description: Proteobacteria bacterium partial 16S ribosomal RNA
Rfam family: Bacterial small subunit ribosomal RNA
Source: RNAcentral